This 117-nucleotide ribosomal RNA is filed under the name Bacillus subtilis. RNAcentral describes it as "partial 16S ribosomal RNA". It matches the Rfam family "Bacterial small subunit ribosomal RNA", at positions 1 to 113 of the family's 1533-position model. The record is from RNAcentral. Lineage: Bacteria; Bacillati; Bacillota; Bacilli; Caryophanales; Bacillaceae.
UUUAUCGGAGAGUUUGAUCCUGGCUCAGGACGAACGCUGGCGGCGUGCCUAAUACAUGCAAGUCGAGCGGACAGAUGGGAGCUUGCUCCCUGAUGUUAGCGGCGGACGGGUGAGUAA